GACGAACGCUGGCGGCGCGCCUAACACAUGCAAGUCGAACGGAGCUGAGAGAAGCUUGCUUUUCUUAGCUUAGUGGCGAACGGGUGAGUAACGCGUGAGUAACCUGCCCUGGAGUGGGGGACAACAGUUGGAAACGACUGCUAAUACCGCAUAAGCCCACGAUCCGGCAUCGGAUUGAGGGAAAAGGAUUUAUUCGCUUCAGGAUGGACUCGCGUCCAAUUAGCUAGUUGGUGAGGUAACGGCCCACCAAGGCGACGAUUGGUAGCCGGACUGGGAGGUUGAACGGCCACAUUGGGACUGAGACACGGCCCAGACUCCUACGGGAGGCAGCAGUGGGGGAUAUUGCACAAUGGGGGAAACCCUGAUGCAGCGACGCCGCGUGGAGGAAGAAGGUUUUCGGAUUGUAAACUCCUGUCGUUAGGGACGAUAAUGACGGUACCUAACAAGAAAGCACCGGCUAACUACGUG
RNAcentral lists this ribosomal RNA (468 nucleotides) under uncultured bacterium. RNAcentral describes it as "partial 16S ribosomal RNA". It matches the Rfam family "Bacterial small subunit ribosomal RNA", at positions 28 to 507 of the family's 1533-position model. The record is from RNAcentral.